UAGGGAAUCUUCCGCAAUGGGCGAAAGCCUGACGGAGCAACGCCGCGUGAGUGAUGAAGGUCUUCGGAUCGUAAAACUCUGUUAUUAGGGAAGAACAAAUGUGUAAGUAACUAUGCACGUCUUGACGGUACCUAAUCAGAAAGCCACGGCUAACUACGUGCCAGCAGCCGCGGUAAUACGUAGGUGGCAAGCGUUAUCCGGAAUUAUUGGGCGUAAAGCGCGCGUAGGCGGUUUUUUAAGGAUGAUGUGAAAGCCCACGGCUCAACCGUGGACGGUCAUUGGCAACUGGAGAACUUGAGUGCAGAAGAGGAGAGUGGAAUUCCAUGUGUAGCGGUGAAAUGCGCAGAGAUAUGGAGGAACGCCAGUGGCGGAGGCUACUUUCUGGUCUGUAAAUGACGCUGAUGUGCGAAAGCGUGGGGUUCAAACAGG
This 429-nucleotide ribosomal RNA is filed under the name Actinomycetes bacterium. Its description in RNAcentral is "Actinobacteria bacterium partial 16S ribosomal RNA". It matches the Rfam family "Bacterial small subunit ribosomal RNA", at positions 355 to 776 of the family's 1533-position model. The record is from RNAcentral. Lineage: Bacteria; Bacillati; Actinomycetota; Actinomycetes.